This 721-nucleotide ribosomal RNA is filed under the name Gerronema albidum. Its description in RNAcentral is "LSU rRNA". It matches the Rfam family "Eukaryotic large subunit ribosomal RNA", at positions 76 to 782 of the family's 3401-position model. Lineage: Eukaryota; Fungi; Basidiomycota; Agaricomycetes; Agaricales; Porotheleaceae. The record is from RNAcentral.
UCCCCUAGUAACUGCGAGUGAAGCGGGAAAAGCUCARAUUUAAAAUCUGGCAGUUUAGGCUGUCCGAGUUGUARUCUGGAGAAGUGUUUUCCUUGUUGGACCGUGCAAAAGUCUCUUGGAAUAGAGCAUCAUAGAGGGUGAGAAUCCCGUCUUUGGCACGGACUACCAAUGCUUUGUGAUACGCUCUCAAAGAGUCGAGUUGUUUGGGAAUGCAGCUCAAAAUGGGUGGUAAAUUCCAUCUAAAGCUAAAUAUUGGCGAGAGACCGAUAGCGAACAAGUACCGUGAGGGAAAGAUGAAAAGCACUUUGGAAAGAGAGUUAAACAGUACGUGAAAUUGUUGAAAGGGAAACGCUUGAAGUCAGUCGCGUCGUCCGGGACUCAGCCUUGCUUCUGCUUGGUGUAUUUCCCGGUUGACGGGCCAACAUCGAUUUUUGCUGGUGGAAAAAGGUGGGGGGAAUGUGGCACCUUUYGGUGUGUUAUAGCCCCUCAUUGUAUGCAUCAGCGGGGAUCGAGGACCGCAGCACGCCCUUGUGGCCGGGGUUCGCCCACGUAACGUGCUUAGGAUGUUGGCAUAAUGGCUUUAAUCGACCCGUCUUGAAACACGGACCAAGGAGUCUAACAUGCCUGCGAGUGUUAGGGUGAUAAACCCUUGCGCGUAAUGAAAGUGAAAGUUGGGAUCCUUGUCAUGGGGGAGCACCGACGCCCGGCCUUGAACUUCUGU